Molecule: ribosomal RNA, 97 nt
Filed under: Octodon degus (degu)
Lineage: Eukaryota; Metazoa; Chordata; Mammalia; Rodentia; Octodontidae
Source: RNAcentral
GCCUGUGGCCGCGCCGCCCUGCACAUGCCCAGUCUCAUCUGCUCUCAGAAGCUAAGCAGGGUCAGGCCUGGUCGGUGCUUGGUGGGAGACACGGGCA